AAUCUUGAUGCUUCAUAUAACCAAAGCAUCCGCCUGAGAACUACGAGCACAAACGCUUAAAACUCUAAGGACUUGGCGGUGUCCCAAACCCACCUAGAGGAGCCUGUUCUAUAAUCGAUAACCCACGAUACACCCGACCACUUCUUGCCAAAACAGCCUACAUACCGCCGUCGCCAGCUCACCUCUUUUGAUAGCGCCACAGUGAGCACAAUCGCCCUAACCCCGCUAACAAGACAGGUCAAGGUAUAGCUCAUGAAGUGGAAGAAAUGGGCUACAUUUUCUAGCUUAGAAAACUCACGAAAAGGGGCAUGAAAUGGUCCCUAGAAGGCGGAUUUAGCAGUAAAGCGGGAUAACAUAAGCCCCCUUUAAGCCGGCCCUGGGGCACGUACACAC
Molecule: ribosomal RNA, 393 nt
Filed under: Streptopelia orientalis (eastern turtle dove)
Lineage: Eukaryota; Metazoa; Chordata; Aves; Columbiformes; Columbidae
Description: partial small subunit ribosomal RNA
Rfam family: Bacterial small subunit ribosomal RNA
Source: RNAcentral